This is a long non-coding RNA of Mytilus trossulus (common blue mussel), 218 nucleotides long. RefSeq lists it as uncharacterized. The transcript is spliced from 3 exons. NCBI's taxonomy places the organism in Eukaryota, Metazoa, Mollusca, Bivalvia, Mytilida, Mytilidae. The record is from RefSeq and is a predicted model, not a curated record.
AAAGGACAUCAGACCAGAUUAAAUCAAGUAAAAAAGAUAAGAAAUCCUUUGAUAGUGAUGACAGAUCUCCAUUUAAAGCAAGAAAAGAAAAAAGAAGUGUAUAUUCCUUUACAAGUGAGGAAUUUUCUCCAUUAAAAGCUAGGAAAGCUAGGAAAUCCUUUACAAGUGAGGACAGUUCUCCAUUGAAAGCUAGGAAAGCUAGGAAAUCCUUUACAAGU